RNAcentral lists this ribosomal RNA (637 nucleotides) under Microbacterium sp. Se2Pt_475. RNAcentral describes it as "bacterial SSU rRNA". It matches the Rfam family "Bacterial small subunit ribosomal RNA", at positions 380 to 1028 of the family's 1533-position model. The record is from RNAcentral. Lineage: Bacteria; Bacillati; Actinomycetota; Actinomycetes; Micrococcales; Microbacteriaceae.
AGCCUGAUGCAGCAACGCCGCGUGAGGGACGACGGCCUUCGGGUUGUAAACCUCUUUUAGCAAGGAAGAAGCGAAAGUGACGGUACUUGCAUAAAAAGCACCGGCUAACUACGUGCCAGCAGCCGCGGUAAUACGUAGGGUGCAAGCGUUAUCCGGAAUUAUUGGGCGUAAAGAGCUCGUAGGCGGUUUGUCGCGUCUGCUGUGAAAUCUGGGGGCUCAACCCCCAGCCUGCAGUGGGUACGGGCAGACUAGAGUGCGGUAGGGGAGAUUGGAAUUCCUGGUGUAGCGGUGGAAUGCGCAGAUGUCAAGAGGAACACCGAUGGCGAAAGCAGAUCUCUGGGCCGUAACUGACGCUGAGGAGCGAAAGGGUGGGGAGCAAACAGGCUUAUAUACCCUGGUAGUCCACCCCGUAAACGUUGGGAACUAGUUGUGGGGUCCAUUCCACGGAUUCCGUGACGCAGCUAACGCAUUAAGUUCCCCGCCUGGGGAGUACGGCCGCAAGGCUAAAACUCAAAGGAAUUGACGGGGACCCGCACAAGCGGCGGAGCAUGCGGAUUAAUUCGAUGCAACGCGAAGAACCUUACCAAGGCUUGACAUAUACAAGAACGGGCUAGAAAUAGUCAACUCUUUGGACACU